This 446-nucleotide ribosomal RNA is filed under the name uncultured bacterium. Its description in RNAcentral is "partial 16S ribosomal RNA". It matches the Rfam family "Bacterial small subunit ribosomal RNA", at positions 338 to 795 of the family's 1533-position model. The record is from RNAcentral.
CCUACGGGGUGCUGCAGUCGAGAAUCAUUCACAAUGGGGGAAACCCUGAUGGUGCGACGCCGCGUGGGGGAAUGAAGGUCUUCGGAUUGUAAACCCCUGUCAUGUGGGAGCAAAUUAAAAAGAUCGUACCACAAGAGGCAGAGACGGCUAACUCUGUGCCAGCAGCCGCGGUAAUACAGAGGUCUCAAGCGUUGUCCGGAAUCACUGGGCGUAAAGCGUGCGUAGGCUGUUUCGUAAGUCGUGUGUGAAAGGCGCGGGCUCAACCCGCGGACGGCACAUGAUACUGCGAGACUAGAGUAAGGGAGGGGGAACCGGAAUUCUCGGUGUAGCAGUGAAAUGCGUAGAUAUCGGGAGGAACACUCGUGGCGAAGGCGGGUUCCUGGACAUUAACUGACGCUGAGGCACGAAGGCCAGGGGAGCGAAAGGGAUUAGAUACCCUGGUAGUC